UUGAAAAAUGCGCUGAAUCUCUUAUUAAAAAGAGAGCGGGGGAACCGAUUUUAUUGGGGUGAAACCGAUUUUGGUAGGGAAUUCCCUUUUCCCGAAUCCGUCAGCUAACCUCGUAAGCGCCGAAAGGGAAUCC
This 133-nucleotide small RNA is filed under the name Desulfotomaculum sp. Its description in RNAcentral is "c-di-AMP sequence". It matches the Rfam family "c-di-AMP riboswitch aptamer (ydaO/yuaA leader)". From Rfam's summary of the family: This family represents a conserved RNA structure found upstream of the ydaO and yuaA genes in Bacillus subtilis and related genes in other bacteria. The ydaO/yuaA element is thought to act as a genetic "off" switch for the ydaO and yuaA genes in its native state. Lineage: Bacteria; Bacillati; Bacillota; Clostridia; Eubacteriales; Desulfotomaculaceae. The record is from RNAcentral.